UUCAGUCUAAACUGGAAUCCCCAAGAAGUA
RNAcentral lists this non-coding RNA (30 nucleotides) under Rattus norvegicus (Norway rat). Lineage: Eukaryota; Metazoa; Chordata; Mammalia; Rodentia; Muridae. The record is from RNAcentral.